Molecule: ribosomal RNA, 506 nt
Filed under: uncultured bacterium
Lineage: Bacteria
Description: bacterial SSU rRNA
Rfam family: Bacterial small subunit ribosomal RNA
Source: RNAcentral
CGGCGUGCCUAAUACAUGCAAGUCGAACGGUCUUUCUAUGGAAGCUUGCUCCACUGAGAAGAUAGUGGCGAACGGGUGAGUAACACGUGGGUAACCUGCCCAUAAGAGGGGGGAUAACAUCCGGAAACGGGUAGCUAAUACCGCAUAGUUUUCUUGAUCGCAUGAUUGGGAAGGAAAGACGGCCUUUGUGCUGUCGCUUAUGGAUGGACCCGCGGCGUAUUAGUUAGUUGGUGAGGUAACGGCUCACCAAGACGAUGAUACGUAGCCGACCUGAGAGGGUGAUCGGCCACAUUGGGACUGAGACACGGCCCAAACUCCUACGGGAGGCAGCAGUAGGGAAUCUUCCGCAAUGGACGAAAGUCUGACGGAGCAACGCCGCGUGAGUGAAGAAAAGGUUUUCGGAUCGUAAAACUCUGUUGUCAGAGAAGAACAAGUUGGAGAGUAACUGCUCCAGCCUUGACGGUAUCUGACCAGAAAGCCACGGCUAACUACGUGCCAGCAGCGGC